This 452-nucleotide ribosomal RNA is filed under the name Bacillus zhangzhouensis. Its description in RNAcentral is "bacterial SSU rRNA". It matches the Rfam family "Bacterial small subunit ribosomal RNA", at positions 79 to 516 of the family's 1533-position model. Lineage: Bacteria; Bacillati; Bacillota; Bacilli; Caryophanales; Bacillaceae. The record is from RNAcentral.
CUUGCUCCCGGAUGUUAGCGGCGGACGGGUGAGUAACACGUGGGUAACCUGCCUGUAAGACUGGGAUAACUCCGGGAAACCGGAGCUAAUACCGGAUAGUUCCUUGAACCGCAUGGUUCAAGGAUGAAAGACGGUUUCGGCUGUCACUUACAGAUGGACCCGCGGCGCAUUAUCUAGUUGGUGGGGUAAUGGCUCACCAAGGCGACGAUGCGUAGCCGACCUGAGAGGGUGAUCGGCCACACUGGGACUGAGACACGGCCCACACUCCUACGGGAGGCAGCAGUAGGGAAUCUUCCGCAAUGGACGAAAGUCUGACGGAGCAACGCCGCGUGAGUGAUGAAGGUUUUCGGAUCGUAAAGCUCUGUUGUUAGGGAAGAACAAGUGCGAGAGUAACUGCUCGCACCUUGACGGUACCUAACCAGAAAGCCACGGCUAACUACGUGCCAGCAGCC